RNAcentral lists this ribosomal RNA (253 nucleotides) under uncultured bacterium. Its description in RNAcentral is "partial 16S ribosomal RNA". It matches the Rfam family "Bacterial small subunit ribosomal RNA", at positions 524 to 776 of the family's 1533-position model. The record is from RNAcentral.
UACAGAGGUCUCAAGCGUUGUUCGGAUUCAUUGGGCGUAAAGGGCGCGUAGGCGGCGGGGUAAGUCGGGUGUGAAAUCUCAGAGCUCAACUCUGAAACUGCACUCGAUACUGCUCUGCUUGAGGACUGGAGAGGAGACUGGAAUUCACGGUGUAGCAGUGAAAUGCGUAGAUAUCGUAAGGAAGACCAGUGGCGAAGGCGGGUCUCUGGACAGUUCCUGACGCUGAGGCGCGAAGGCCAGGGGAGCAAACGGG